AGCUCCAAUAGCGUAUAUUAAAGUUGUUGCAGUUAAAAAGCUCGUAGUUGAACUUCUGUAUGUCCCCUACGCAGGCUUCGGUCGCGUUGGGGAUAUGCAUCCGCUUGGGAACCUCGUUCGGUCUUCAUUGGUCGGCGGGAGGAUCAGGCAUUUUACUUUGAAAAAAUUAGAGUGUUCAAGGCAGGCAAUCGCCAUGAAUACACAAGCAUGGAAUAAUGGAAUAGGACUUUCAGUCAUUUUAUUGGUUAUUGACUGUGAGUAAUGAUUAACAGGGACAGUUGGGGGCAUUAGUAUUUAAUUGUCAGAGGUGAAAUUCUUGGAUUUAUUAAAGACUAACUUAUGCGAAAGCAUUUGCCAAGGAUGUUUUCAUUA
This 372-nucleotide ribosomal RNA is filed under the name Askenasia sp. RNAcentral's name for it is "partial small subunit ribosomal RNA". It matches the Rfam family "Eukaryotic small subunit ribosomal RNA", at positions 587 to 975 of the family's 1831-position model. Lineage: Eukaryota; Ciliophora; Litostomatea; Cyclotrichida; Mesodiniidae. The record is from RNAcentral.